AAGUCGUAACAAGGUAACCGUAGGUGAACCUGCGGUUGGAUCAUUAAUGUCUAUUUAGUCUCUGGGGUAACACACUCUACUCUAUGGGUAGUUAACUUUACCCCAUGACGGCUAUUAACACCUGUGCACUUUCAUGUAUCUUGGGUAACAUUGUAUGCCCAAAAACUUAAAACCCCUAUUGAUUAUGUCUGAAAAUUUAUAUUAAAUAUAAACAACUUUUGACAACGGAUCUCUAGGCUCUC
This 242-nucleotide unclassified non-coding RNA is filed under the name fungal sp. RNAcentral's name for it is "partial internal transcribed spacer region". The stretch from base 1 to 46 matches the Rfam family "Eukaryotic small subunit ribosomal RNA", at positions 1786 to 1831 of the family's 1831-position model. The record is from RNAcentral. Lineage: Eukaryota; Fungi.